GCUCAGAUUGAACGCUAGCGGGAUGCCUUACACAUGCAAGUCGAACGGCAGCACGGACUUCGGUCUGGUGGCGAGUGGCGAACGGGUGAGUAAUGUAUCGGAACGUGCCUAGUAGCGGGGGAUAACUACGCGAAAGCGUAGCUAAUACCGCAUACGCCCUACGGGGGAAAGCAGGGGAUCGUAAGACCUUGCACUAUUAGAGCGGCCGAUAUCGGAUUAGCUAGUUGGUGGGGUAAUGGCUCACCAAGGCGACGAUCCGUAGCUGGUUUGAGAGGACGACCAGCCACACUGGGACUGAGACACGGCCCAGACUCCUACGGGAGGCAGCAGUGGGGAAUUUUGGACAAUGGGGGAAACCCUGAUCCAGCCAUCCCGCGUGUGCGAUGAAGGCCUUCGGGUUGUAAAGCACUUUUGGCAGGAAAGAAACGCCGCGGGUUAAUACCCUGCGGAACUGACGGUACCUGCAGAAUAAGCACCGGCUAACUACGUGCCAGCAGCCGCGGUAAUACGUAGGGUGCAAGCGUUAAUCGGAAUUACUGGGCGUAAAGCGUGCGCAGGCGGUUCGGAAAGAAAGAUGUGAAAUCCCAGAGCUUAACUUUGGAACUGCAUUUUUAACUACCGAGCUAGAGUGUGUCAGAGGGAGGUGGAAAUUCCGCGUGUAGCAGUGAAAUGCGUAGAUAUGCGGAGGAACACCGAUGGCGAAGGCAGCCUCCUGGGAUAA
This 721-nucleotide ribosomal RNA is filed under the name Achromobacter sp. 110609_136_C_G1. Its description in RNAcentral is "bacterial SSU rRNA". It matches the Rfam family "Bacterial small subunit ribosomal RNA", at positions 22 to 737 of the family's 1533-position model. The record is from RNAcentral. Lineage: Bacteria; Pseudomonadati; Pseudomonadota; Betaproteobacteria; Burkholderiales; Alcaligenaceae.